Molecule: ribosomal RNA, 761 nt
Filed under: uncultured bacterium
Lineage: Bacteria
Description: bacterial SSU rRNA
Rfam family: Bacterial small subunit ribosomal RNA
Source: RNAcentral
GAGUUUGAUCAUGGCUCAGGAUGAACGCUAGCGACAGGCCUAACACAUGCAAGUCGAGGGGCAGCACAAGGUAGCAAUACUGAGGUGGCGACCGGCGCACGGGUGAGUAACGCGUAUGCAACCUGCCUGUAACAGGGGAAUAGCCUCUUGAAAGAGAGAUUAAUGCCGCAUAAUACGAGAUUCGGGCAUCCGGAUUUAGUUAAACAUUUAUGGGUUACAGAUGGGCAUGCGUUUCAUUAGGUAGUUGGUGAGGUAACGGCUCACCAAGCCGACGAUGAAUAGGGGUUCUGAGAGGAAGGUCCCCCACACUGGUACUGAGACACGGACCAGACUCCUACGGGAGGCAGCAGUGAGGAAUAUUGGUCAAUGGACGCAAGUCUGAACCAGCCAAGUCGCGUGAAGGAUGAAGGUAUUAUGUAUUGUAAACUUCUUUUGUCAGGGAAUAAUGGGUGUCACGUGUGACGCAGAGGAAUGUACCUGACGAAUAAGCAUCGGCUAACUCCGAGCCAGCAGCCGCGGUAAUACGGAGGAUGCGAGCGUUAUCCGGAUUUAUUGGGUUUAAAGGGUGCGUAGGCGGUUUGUUAAGUCAGUGGUGAAAGUUUGCGGCUCAACCGUAAAAUUGCCAUUGAAACUGGCGAACUUGAGUACAGUAGAGGUAGGCGGAAUUCGUGGUGUAGCGGUGAAAUGCUUAGAUAUCACGAAGAACUCCGAUUGCGAAGGCAGCUUGCUGGACUGUAACUGACGCUGAGGCACGAAAGCGU